UUGGAGGGCAAGUCUGGUGCCAGCAGCCGCGGUAAUUCCAGCUCCAAUAGCGUAUAUUAAAGUUGUUGCAGUUAAAAAGCUCGUAGUUGAACCUCGGGAUCAAUGGGUCGGUCAUGCCCUCGGUAUGUACUGGCCUCAUUGGUUCUCACCUUCUAAGGAACCGUGAUGUCAUUCAUUUGAUGUUGCGGGGAAUUAGGACUGUUACCUUGAAAAAAUUAGAGUGUUUAAAGCAGGCCAACGCUUGAAUACAUUAGCAUGGAAUAAUGAAAUAGGACGUUCGAUCCUAUUUUGUUGGUUUCUAGGAUUGACGUAAUGAUUAAUAGGGAUAGUUGGGGGCAUUAGUAUUCAAUUGUCAGAGGUGAAAUUCUUGGAUUUAUUGAAGACUAACUACUGCGAAAGCAUUUGCCAAGGAUGUUUUCAUUAAUCAAGAACGAAAGUUAGGGGAUCGAAGACGAUCAGAUACCGUCGUAGUCUUAACCAUAAACUAUAGCCGAUAGGGAUCGGAUGAUGUUAAUUUUUAAUGACUCAUUCGGC
Molecule: ribosomal RNA, 534 nt
Filed under: Glomus sp.
Lineage: Eukaryota; Fungi; Glomeromycota; Glomeromycetes; Glomerales; Glomeraceae
Description: SSU rRNA
Rfam family: Eukaryotic small subunit ribosomal RNA
Source: RNAcentral